UGGGGAAUAUUGGACAAUGGGCGAAAGCCUGAUCCAGCCAUGCCGCGUGUGUGAAGAAGGUCUUCGGAUUGUAAAGCACUUUAAGUUGGGAGGAAGGGCGGUAGGCGAAUACCUUGCUGUUUUUACGUUCCCGCCAGCAUAAGCACCGGCUAAAUCUGUUCCAGCAGCCGCGGUAAUACAGGGGGUGCAAGCGUUAAUCGGAAUUACUGGGCGUAAAGCGCGCCUAGGUGGUUCGUUAAGUUGAAUGUGAAAGCCCCGGGCUCAACCUGGGAACUGCAUCCAAAACGGGCGAGCUAGAGUAGGGCAGAGGGUGGUGGAAGUUCCUGUGUAGCGGUGAAAUGCGUAGAUAUAGGAAGGAACACCAGUGGCGAAGGCGACCACCUGGGCUCAAACUGACACUGAGGUGCGAAAGCGUGGGGAGCAAACAGG
This 429-nucleotide ribosomal RNA is filed under the name Pseudomonadota bacterium. RNAcentral describes it as "Proteobacteria bacterium partial 16S ribosomal RNA". It matches the Rfam family "Bacterial small subunit ribosomal RNA", at positions 355 to 776 of the family's 1533-position model. The record is from RNAcentral. Lineage: Bacteria; Pseudomonadati; Pseudomonadota.